UUUCUUUCCACGUGGACGUGCUGCGCGCAACCACAGGAUUCCUCGCGGAAGUGACGGCAAGGCGGCGAUGGCGGCUCGCAGUUUCAUUCCGGAUUUCCACUGGACUACAAACUGAUUUUAACCGGACCGGUUAGACUUUGUGGAACUUUUGUUAAGCCGUCUCAUUUCGGACGCCAAACAGAGUGAAGUUGCGUUGAACCGGUGCUUAACAACAAGCGGCCCACAGCUUUUUUGGGGUAUUUUUGUCCAAGGUUCAAGGUGGUCACCCUGUCGAGCUAGCGGUAGCUUGGCGGCUACAAGCUAACGUUAAAUGGUAUACAGCUAGCUCGUCAGCUACUUGUCGACGAGCUACGCGCUAAUGUCCACACAGCAGCAGUCGUUUUGCAGCAGCUUUUCUUUUGACGACGUCCACGUUUGUUUCACAGUUACAAUGUGAAUGUACUCUAUUUAAUGCUAUUUGUGCCACAAGUGUGCAGAGCGAGGUACUCACACGUUUGCUUGGCCUCUUGUUCAUUUGAAUUGCUAGUUUGGCGGCUUUGGCUAAAGACGGAUUUUGACUAUUACUAGCAAGCAAGUUCCUUCAGUAAUUAUCCCAACAACUUCUGACAAAAGUGUGCUAUCAACUGAUAAUUGAAGUUGAGUUACUGUGGGGUCUUUGCGUGCUCGUCAACAUGCUGAAGACCAGGCAAUGUUUACUUGGCAUCCGGACUUUUCUCGGAGUAACAUCGAGAAUAUGGGGCUUCAUUAUGUACAUCCUCAGGAAGCACCUACGAACGAUAAUCCAGUAUCAGACGGUGCGAUACGAUACUUUGCCUCUUUCACCUAUCUCCAGAAACAGACUCAAUGCCGUAAAGAGGAAGAUUCUGGUUUUGGACCUGGAUGAGACGCUGAUCCACUCUCACCAUGACGGGGUCCUCAGACCCACAGUGAGACCUGGCACACCGCCAGACUUCAUCCUCAAAGUUGUCAUUGACAAGCACCCAGUCAGAUUCUUCGUACAUAAAAGGCCACAUGUUGACUUCUUUUUAGAAGUGGUGAGCCAGUGGUAUGAGCUGGUGGUUUUUACUGCCAGUAUGGAGAUCUAUGGAUCAGCUGUGGCAGACAAGCUUGACAACAACAGGAACAUCCUAAAACGCAGAUACUACAGACAGCAUUGUACAUUGGAUUUAGGUAGUUAUAUUAAAGACCUAUCUGUAGUACACGAUGACUUGUCCAGUAUUGUCAUCCUGGACAAUUCGCCUGGUGCUUAUCGUAGCCAUCCAGACAAUGCAAUACCCAUCAAGUCCUGGUUCAGCGACCCUAGUGACACAGCACUUCUUAACUUGCUGCCUAUGCUGGAUGCACUAAGACAAUCUCGUCAUAGGACCCAGCAUACUAGCAGCAUGGCUAAAUGCUAGCACCAUGGGGAACACAAUGGAAACACAAACGGUCGACACACCCACACCGCCGCACAACCCUGCGGCUAACCGCCGCAACGCCGGAUCCUAUGUGAAUGCCGGCUAAAGAGGCCCCAUCUACACUACCCUACAAUGUUCACUGCUGAUGUCCGCUCCGUCCUCAGUCGAAACCUCCACCAGCACCGACUUUGGUGAUUGGCUGAAUCAAGAGGGGUGGGGCUUGUUGACCAGUCUUUUCCUCUCUAUCGGCUUCCAUCCUGCCCUCCGUUCCCACACAGACGACCCACCAGCCCUCUCUGAGCCUCUCAGACGUGUCCUGAGGAGAUGAGGGUUGGGGUGACUGCCUAACAUGGGAUGAACAGUACGGGAUCACCAGAGCCCAGAAACUACUGAGGAGGGUGGGGGGGGAGGGCAAACAGCUUUUUUCUUCUUGAUUCUUUAUUUGUAAUUUUUUUUUCUUCUCAAAACAAAAUGGAGCCUCUCUGCCUUAUUGCUCCUGAUACUGACUGUGUGCAUACGGUGGUAAGUCUGUGUACGUUGAGUCAGAGUAUGCUUGCUGAGUUCGUUAGUCCUUUUGAAACUGGGGGCGGGGGACAGCAAAGCAACAAGGACAGUUCUACAAUAUUGUUUCUUCUUCUCCAUCAUCCUCGGACAUUGCACUUAAGCAGACAACUCAUCGAUUUACUGUCUUAACCUCUCUCCGAGGUACUGAGUGGGGGAAUAGAAAACCGACCCUUUUUAGAUCAGACUCAAACCCCUCAACCGUAAUUCAUUAAUUCCUGAGGUACGUUAAUUUUCCCUAAACAAGAAUGGAUCAAUUUAAAUGGUGUUAUUGAUGGACUUUUGCUUGCAACAUACCAUGGCACAGGCAUUUUUCUGGACAAAUAGCCGAGCAGCCUGACAUAAGUUUUUUUUUUUUUUUUUCUCCUCUCUCCCCAGCCGUAACCAUCACUCUUUCCCCAAAGCUCCUCUUGGGACUCAGUGAUAAAGACUUGACUGAAAAGAUGUGAGAGAAAAAAAAGAAUGGCUUGUAACGACAUGUGGACUGCCGUGGCGCCUCUCCAUAUCUGAUUAUUUCUCUAUUAUAAUAUGUGAUAAUAUGACUUCUGCAUUUCGCUCUGCCCCUUUGCCACCUGAUGCCAUCCUGAUUUCAUCUAAUAGGAAUUGCACUUAAUUUUUUCCUUCCGUUUUUGUUGCAGUUGGUUUUGUUUUUGAUUCAAAUUUGCAGCCUUCCUCUUUAAGUUUUUUUCCUGCUCCGCUUCUGUAUGGGUUCUAGUGACCCUCCGUCUUUACAUGCCUUCUGAACAAUGUCUGUCUUGUCAAGGCUCACACCGGUUUCUUAUUGGCUCUGUCUCCAGGUCUGUGUUACUAAUAAAACACCUGUCAGUAUCGACCAGUUA
This is an RNA transcript of Etheostoma cragini (Arkansas darter), 2797 nucleotides long. It is a transcript of the gene named CTD nuclear envelope phosphatase 1A, with no coding region annotated. The record is from RefSeq and is a predicted model, not a curated record. The transcript is spliced from 9 exons. NCBI's taxonomy places the organism in Eukaryota, Metazoa, Chordata, Actinopteri, Perciformes, Percidae.